RNAcentral lists this ribosomal RNA (253 nucleotides) under uncultured bacterium. RNAcentral describes it as "partial 16S ribosomal RNA". It matches the Rfam family "Bacterial small subunit ribosomal RNA", at positions 524 to 776 of the family's 1533-position model. The record is from RNAcentral.
UACAGAGGAGCCAAGCGUUGUCCGGAUUGACUGGGCGUAAAGCGCACGCAGGCGGUUUCGCGCGUGGGGUGUGAAAUCUGGCCGCUUAACGGCCAGGCGCCAUCCCAUACGGCGCGACUGGAGUGAUGCAGAGGUCGAUGGAAUUGCCGGUGUAGUGGUGAAAUGCGUAGAGAUCGGCAGGAACACCCAGGGGGAAACCAGUCGACUGGGCAUCUACUGACGCUGAGGUGCGAGAGCGUGGGGAGCGAACCGG